GAAAUGCGAUAAGUAAUGUGAAUUGCAGAAUUCAGUGAAUCAUCGAAUCUUUGAACGCACAUUGCGCCCCCUGGUAUUCCGGGGGGCAUGCCUGCUCGAGCGUCAUUUCACCACUCAAGCCUCGCUUGGUAUUGGGCGACGCGGUCCGCCGCGCGCCUCAAAUCGACCGGCUGGGUCUUCUGUCCCCUAAGCGUUGUGGAAACUAUUCGCUAAAGGGUGCCACGGGAGGUCACGCCGUAAAACAAGCCCAUUUCUAAGGUUGACCUCGGAUCAGGUAGGGAUACCCGCUGAACUUAAGC
RNAcentral lists this unclassified non-coding RNA (299 nucleotides) under plant metagenome. RNAcentral describes it as "partial contains 5.8S ribosomal RNA, internal transcribed spacer 2, and large subunit ribosomal RNA". The stretch from base 1 to 105 matches the Rfam family "5.8S ribosomal RNA", at positions 50 to 154 of the family's 154-position model. The record is from RNAcentral.